CAUUCCGCACGAGGAAUAUUUCCGCUCCCCGUCCGCUCGGCGUCGACUCCGAGUCUCCGACUCGUCGUGAGUUCGCCCGCCGCCGCCGCCGCCGCCGCCGCCGUCUCCGUCUCCGCCGCCGCCUCCGCCUGCGCGGAUCCCCAUCCAUCCCGCGAGCGAGCAGGGGCGCCGUCGUUCGUCCUGCCCUCUUCCGCCGCAUCCCGAUCCGCCCCCUGA
This 216-nucleotide long non-coding RNA is filed under the name Oryza sativa Indica Group (long-grained rice). RNAcentral describes it as "lncRNA OsLiXu_Ung0069520". RNAcentral also lists the same sequence under 1 other name. Lineage: Eukaryota; Viridiplantae; Streptophyta; Magnoliopsida; Poales; Poaceae. The record is from RNAcentral.